This 465-nucleotide ribosomal RNA is filed under the name uncultured bacterium. RNAcentral's name for it is "partial 16S ribosomal RNA". It matches the Rfam family "Bacterial small subunit ribosomal RNA", at positions 338 to 795 of the family's 1533-position model. The record is from RNAcentral.
CCUACGGGUGACAGCAGUAGGGAAUUUUCCACAAUGGACGAAAGUCUGAUGGAGCAACGCCGCGUGAGUGAAGAAGGGUUUCGGCUCGUAAAGCUCUGUUGGUAGUGACGAAAGAUCGAGUUAGUAACUGGCCUUUAUUUGACGGUACUUACUUAGAAAGUCACGGCUAACUACGUGCCAGCAGCCGCGGUAAUACGUAGGUGGCACGCGUUGUCCGGAUUUAUUGGGCGGAAGGCGAGUGCAGGCGGUUCAAUAAGUCUGAUGUGAAAGCCUUCGGCGCAACCGGAGAAUUGCAUCAGAAACGGUUGAACUUGAGUGCAGAAGAGGAGAGUGGAACUCCAGGUGUAGCGGUGGAAUGCGUAGAUAUAUGGAGGAACACCAGUGGCGAAGGCGACUCUCUGGUCUGCAACUGACGCUGAGGCUCGAAAGCAUGGGUAGCGAACAGGAUUAGAUACCCGGGUAGUC